UAGAACUUUCUUCCUAUGUCUCGCUAAAUUCUAACCCUAAUUUGUCGCCUCCUUCGUCAACUCCGACUAUUCUCUCAACUCAAAUUGUAGCCCUAAUUCCUCGCCUCCUUCGUCAACUGCGACUAUUCUCUCAACUCUUCCUUCUAUACUUCUCAUCUGUUGAAUGCCCAAUCCGUCUGCUCCGUACUUGUUCUUCUUUGUCUGCACAAUUUAAAUCUGUCUCUCAAGCUUUCCUGAAGACCGCUCUUUGUUUCCGACGACCUGCGCAGCUGCUUGUUCAUGCUUUAAGUUUCUGUCCUUCUUGAGAGUUCAAAUCUGUCGGUGAAGCUUUCGUCAACAUUUGUCUUUGUUUCCGAAAACCUGCGCAACUAUUUCUUCGUCGUUUAAGUUAAAUUUACAGGAUGCUACUGUAUUACCUGCUCUACAGUGUUCUUCUGAUGUUACCUGCUUCAAUUGAUUUCAUCAAUAGGUAAUUGCCUGCAACUCAGCGCUACAAAUACCACUGAUACAGCAGAGUCUGCUGGCUUCACACCAACCUUCUCAGUAUCACCACCUUAAACGCUAGCCACUCCACCAGAUUCAGACACAUCGCAUACGUGAUCGCAGUUUAAUCAAGAUGUGAUCAGACCAAUCACUACUUACCAUCGCACGUCCUCUGUUGAAAAUUGAAAUUUUAAAAUCAAAGGACAAACAAGUUCCCAGUUUGUUCAUCCAAAAGUACCUGAUGAAGAAGUUGAAUCUUUCUUACAAAAAUGAGGUAAUUAACUUCUUGUAUUUUUGGCAAUUUAGUAAUCAAUAAAUAUGAUUAACAUUUAUUUACAAUCCUACCUAUUGUGAUUUAAGUGCUGAAAAAUUAUGUAGGAGCAUGAAUUCCUGUAGUUUAUUAUUCUGUUAGAUGUAGUGUGGUCCUUGUACUUUUAGGACUUAGUUUUCCAUGCCAAAAUA
This is a long non-coding RNA of Solanum tuberosum (potato), 945 nucleotides long. RefSeq lists it as uncharacterized. The transcript has 5 exons. NCBI's taxonomy places the organism in Eukaryota, Viridiplantae, Streptophyta, Magnoliopsida, Solanales, Solanaceae. The record is from RefSeq and is a predicted model, not a curated record.